This 120-nucleotide ribosomal RNA is filed under the name uncultured bacterium. RNAcentral describes it as "partial 16S ribosomal RNA". It matches the Rfam family "Bacterial small subunit ribosomal RNA", at positions 796 to 916 of the family's 1533-position model. The record is from RNAcentral.
CACGCCGUAAACGAUGAGUGCUAGUUGUCGGCAUGCAUGCAUGUCGGUGACGCAGCUAACGCAUUAAGCACUCCGCCUGGGGAGUACGGUCGCAAGAUUAAAACUCAAAGGAAUUGACGG